This 84-nucleotide transfer RNA is filed under the name Rhipicephalus microplus (southern cattle tick). RNAcentral's name for it is "tRNA-Leu". It matches the Rfam family "tRNA". Rfam says of the family: Transfer RNA (tRNA) molecules are approximately 80 nucleotides in length. Their secondary structure includes four short double-helical elements and three loops (D, anti-codon, and T loops). Lineage: Eukaryota; Metazoa; Arthropoda; Arachnida; Ixodida; Ixodidae. The record is from Rfam by way of RNAcentral.
GUCAGAAUAGCCGAGCGGUCUGAGGCGCCAGAUUUAAGCUCUGGUCCUCGUAAAAGGGCGUGGGUUCGAACCCCACUUCUGACA